RNAcentral lists this ribosomal RNA (492 nucleotides) under uncultured bacterium. RNAcentral's name for it is "partial 16S ribosomal RNA". It matches the Rfam family "Bacterial small subunit ribosomal RNA", at positions 29 to 507 of the family's 1533-position model. The record is from RNAcentral.
AGUGAACGCUGGCGGUAGGCCUAACACAUGCAAGUCGAACGGCAGCACAGUAAGAGCUUGCGCUUACGGGUGGCGAGUGGCGGACGAGUGAGGAAUACAUCGGAAUCUACUUUUUCGUGGGGGAUAACGUAGGGAAACUUACGCUAAUACCGCAUACGACCUACGGGGGGAAUCAGGGGAUCUUCGGCCCUUGCGCGAUUCAAUGAGCCGAUGUCGGAUUAGCUAGUUGGCGGGGUAAAGGCCCACCAAGGCGACGAUCCGUAGCUGGUCUGAGAGGAUGAUCAGCCACACUGGAACUGAGACACGGUCCAGACUCCUACGGGAGGCAGCAGUGGGGAAUAUUGGACAAUGGGCGCAAGCCUGAUCCAGCCAUACCGCGUGGGUGAAGAAGGCCUUCGGGUUGUAAAGCCCUUUUGUUGGGAAAGAAAAGCAGCAGGUUAAUACCCCGCUGUUCUGACGGUACCCAAAGAAUAAGCACCGGCUAACUUCGUG